GAGUUUGAUCCUGGCUCAGAUUGAACGCUGGCGGCAUGCCUUACACAUGCAAGUCGAACGGCAGCACGGGAGCAAUCCUGGUGGCGAGUGGCGAACGGGUGAGUAAUAUAUCGGAACGUGCCCAGUCGUGGGGGAUAACGCAGCGAAAGCUGUGCUAAUACCGCAUACGAUCUAUGGAUGAAAGCGGGGGACUCGCAAGGGCCUCGCGCGAUUGGAGCGGCCGAUAUCAGAUUAGCUAGUUGGCGGGGUAAAAGCCCACCAAGGCGACGAUCUGUAGCUGGUCUGAGAGGACGACCAGCCACACUGGAACUGAGACACGGUCCAGACUCCUACGGGAGGCAGCAGUGGGGAAUUUUGGACAAUGGGCGCAAGCCUGAUCCAGCAAUGCCGCGUGCAGGAUGAAGGCCUUCGGGUUGUAAACUGCUUUUGUACGGAACGAAACGGUCCUUUCUAAUACGAGGGGCUAAUGACGGUACCGUAAGAAUAAGCACCGGCUAACUACGUGCCAGCAGCCGCGGUAAUACGUAGGGUGCGAGCGUUAAUCGGAAUUACUGGGCGUAAAGCGUGCGCAGGCGGUUAUAUAAGACAGAUGUGAAAUCCCCGGGCUCAACCUGGGACCUGCAUUUGUGACUGUAUAGCUAGAGUACGGUAGAGGGGGGAUGGAAUUCCGCGUGUAGCAGUGAAAUGCGUAGAUAUGCGGAGGAACACCGAUGGCGAAGGCAAUCCCCUGGACCUGUACUGACGCUCAUGCACGAAAGCGUGGGGAGCAAACAGGAUUAGAUACCCUGGUAGUCCACGCCCUAAACGAUGUCAACUGGGUUGUUGG
Molecule: ribosomal RNA, 826 nt
Filed under: uncultured bacterium
Lineage: Bacteria
Description: bacterial SSU rRNA
Rfam family: Bacterial small subunit ribosomal RNA
Source: RNAcentral